AUCAACAGGCAUUUACUUCA
RNAcentral lists this microRNA (20 nucleotides) under Drosophila melanogaster (fruit fly). RNAcentral describes it as "dme-miR-987-3p". Its record names the gene dme-miR-987-3p. The record is from miRBase by way of RNAcentral. Lineage: Eukaryota; Metazoa; Arthropoda; Insecta; Diptera; Drosophilidae.